RNAcentral lists this ribosomal RNA (1243 nucleotides) under uncultured marine eukaryote. Its description in RNAcentral is "SSU rRNA". It matches the Rfam family "Eukaryotic small subunit ribosomal RNA", at positions 577 to 1807 of the family's 1831-position model. The record is from RNAcentral.
CGGUAAUUCCAGCUCCAAUAGCGUAUAUUAAAGUUGUUGCAGUUAAAAAGCUCGUAGUUGGAUUUCUGACAGCGCAGACCUCCCUCUCCAAGCCCUCUGCUUUCCUUCCUUCUGGGGAGGUUUGUGGGGGGAGAUGGGUGGGAAACGACGCGGUGUCAUCCUCUCGGAGACGUCAUGUGCUCUUAAUUGGGUGUGUGAGCCGGAUCCGGGAUCUUUACUUUGAAAAAAUUAGAGUGUUCAAAGCAGGCCUUCGCUUGAAUACAUUAGCAUGGAAUAAUAGAAUAGGACUUUGGUUCUGUUUUGUUGGUUUAUAGGACCGAAGUAAUGAUUAAUAGGGAUAGUUGGGGGCAUUAGUAUUUAAUUGUCAGAGGUGAAAUUCUUGGAUUUAUGAAAGACUAACAUCUGCGAAAGCAUUUGCCAAGGAUGUUUUCAUUAAUCAAGAACGAAAGUUAGGGGAUCGAAGACGAUCAGAUACCGUCGUAGUCUUAACCAUAAACUAUGCCGACUAGGGAUCGGUGGGUUCAUUUUAUAGGCCCAUCGGCACCUUAUGGGAAACCAAAGUUUUUGGGUUCCGGGGGGAGUAUGGUCGCAAGGCUGAAACUUAAAGGAAUUGACGGAAGGGCACCACCAGGAGUGGAGCCUGCGGCUUAAUUUGACCCAACACGGGAAAACUCACCAGGUCCAGACAUAGGAAGGAUUGACAGAUUGAGAGCUCUUUCUUGAUUCUAUGGUUGGUGGUGCAUGGCCGUUCUUAGUUGGUGGAGUGAUUUGUCUGGUUAAUUCCGUUAACGAACGAGACCUUAACCUGCUAAAUAGAGUUGCGAUUCUCGAAUCGUAGACUACUUCUUAGAGGGACUAUCGGCGUUUAGUCGGUGGAAGUUUGAGGCAAUAACAGGUCUGUGAUGCCCUUAGAUGUUCUGGGCUGCACGCGCGCUACACUGACGAGAGCAACGAGUGUAGCUGCUCUGGAAAGAGUGGGCAAUCUUUUGAAAUCUCGUCGUGAUGGGGAUAGAUCUUUGUAAUUAUCGAUCUUGAACGAGGAAUUCCUAGUAAGCGCGAUUCAUCAAAUCGCGUUGAUUACGUCCCUGCCCUUUGUACACACCGCCCGUCGCUACUACCGAUUGAAUGGUUUAGUGAGGCCUCGGGAUUGACAAAUGGGAGUUAGCAAUAACUCCCUAUUGUUCGAGAACUUGGUCAAACUUGAUCAUUUAGAGGAAGUAAAAGUCGUAACAAGGUAGCCGUA